GUAGAUAAAAUGGCGAUUUUUAAAAGGGAUGGCGGGGUGAAAAUAAGGGGAACGUGCCACACUUCCUGACUCAGACUUUUUCAGCUCUUUCUCAGCUUUGUGCAAAGUAAUAUGAGCUUUGAGUCUGGAAGGUCACAUAUUUUAAUGAAACCUUGAAGGGCAAAGAGUAAGAAAUUAUUCUUCCAACUAGGCUGAAAGCGAAAUAUUUUCAGAUGUCCGUAAUUAUUACCUUAAAUUCUACAAGUGGAGUCACUAGAUCUUUAUCCAGUUUAAUUUAACUUUAUAUUGGAGUAUAGUUGAUUUACAAUGUUUUGUUAGUUUCAGGUGUACAACUCAGUGAUUCAGUUACAUGUAUACAUAUAUCCAUUCUUAAAGUUUAUCCAGUUUUAAAAGCUUUUAAUACACACUGCCCACCUACCUCCCCAAAUUCUGAAGCAAUUUAGUCAUGUCUCGGAGAAGGCAAUGGCACUCCACUCCAGUACUGUUGCUUGGAAAAUCCCAUGGACGGAGGAGCCUGGUAGGCUGCAGUCCAUUGGGUCGCUAGGAGUCGGACACGACUGAGCGACUUCCCUUUCACUUUCAUGCAUUGGAGAAGGAAAUGGCAAGCCACUCCGGCGUUCUUGCCUGGAGAAUCCCAGGGACGGGGGAGCCUGGUGGGCUUCGGUCUCUGGGGUCGCACAGUCGGACACGACUGAAGCGACUUAGCAGCAGCAGCAGCAGAAUCAUGUCUGACUCUUUGCGACCCCAUGGACUGUAACCCGCCAGGCUUCUCCGUCCAUGGGAUUUCCCAGGCAAGAGGACUGGAGUGUGUUGCCAGUGGGCUGCAAUUUCCUUCUCCAGAAGAUCUUCUGGACCCAGGGACUGAACGCACAUUACAGAAGAUAACCCAAAGAUGACCAACAGAAUACUGUGAUUAAACGGUUAACAACAAAACAUUUUGCUGGGUGACACAGUUUUAUUAGUGAGGUUCAAUAUUCAUGUUUCAAGGAUUUUUAUAUUCUUCUCUAAAUUGCUUACCCAGCCUUUGAGGUGUUCAUCCUUCCUUGAAUUGUGAAACUCAUUUUACGAAAAAUAAACCCUUCUGAUAGUCUUUAUUUACUAAGAACCCAAGAAGAAAUUUCUUUUACUAACAAGAAUCCUAUUAAGUCCCUUAAACACUACUUUCCAUGUAUAGAAACUAU
Long non-coding RNA from Bos taurus (domestic cattle), 1181 nucleotides. Lineage: Eukaryota; Metazoa; Chordata; Mammalia; Artiodactyla; Bovidae. The record is from Ensembl.